Molecule: long non-coding RNA, 7939 nt
Filed under: Lactuca sativa (garden lettuce)
Lineage: Eukaryota; Viridiplantae; Streptophyta; Magnoliopsida; Asterales; Asteraceae
Description: long non-coding RNA (LSAT_LNC001151)
Source: RNAcentral
AACUCACAUAUAGAGUUUGUUAUGUUCUCAAGAUUCGAACAGUAUGUGAGAUUCAAGAAGCUUAGGCUAGACAAAUAUCUGAUUGAUGAUGGCAGUUCCUUUAUUGUAGAACAAAAAGAAAGAUCUAAUUGUGAUAGUUUAACCAUACAUGGUGAGACUUCUGGGAAUCUUUCAAGCCUCUCACAUCCAGAGACAAUUAGAUGUCUCAGCACUCACAUGGAAUCCCAUAAUCUACUUGGAUUUAAUCAACUGGUUUUGGAGUUCAACUAGCAUCAGAAAUGAAAGCAACGGAGCGCAGACAAUCGAAGCAACUGUCAAAAGAUGUAAAAUUGUCAUCACUAAGCAGUUUAUCAGAGACACAUUGAAGAUUGAUGACAAUGCUACUUAUCUUACCGACAUUGAUCUGCGAGUUGUUGAUGAGUACCUUGAAAAGAUGGGAUAUGAAGGCGUUUUCCCACCGACCCUCAAGAAGCUGCUACCUCCAUACCGAAGGUUUCUGGCGCAUGUGUUUGUUAACUGUAUAUCAGGGCGUAAGGGUGGAGCAGACGAGAUCUCUUCAAGGAAUACUCAAGCUAUUAUUGUACUGUCAGUAGGAAUCGACUUCAACUUCUCAAGAUUUAUCUUAGAAUAAAUGGUCACUAAUCUCAAAAAGAAGGCGAAGGACCAAUUCCUGCUUUACCCUCGGUUCAUCCAGAUCUUUCUCAACUGCCUUUUUCCAGACCUUUCCAAGACAUGAGAGAUUCUUGACAUGAAGGCUUUUGGACCAAACACAAUCAGUCUGAUGAAGCAAAAUCGAAAAGGGAAAAUCAUGUUCCAAGGAAAGUACCCUUUCGAGAAAUCUGGAAAAUUUGCCGAGCUGACCGACUCUUCUGGAUCCCGUGGGUCACCUGAGCAGACUUCAACUGAUCAUGCAUCAUCAGAUCAUACAAAUAUAAAUGAUGAUGUAAUCGACGUUUCAGACCAUGAGGAAGAAACUGUUGCUGCUCUAACUGGCAUUGUGGCUGAGGAGCAUAUUUUCACAAAUGUGACAGUUCAAAGUGAUUUUGAUGGAGGUUCCACAGAAUAAUUCACCGGAGCUGAGGAAGGAGAAGAGAAUGAAAGAGGUGAUCUGUCCGGCUAUGACAGAGAUGAUAUUGUUGAACAAUUCAUUGGACCUGAGUACACCUUGUCAAAUGAAGAUCUCGAUGACAUCUUCAAUGAUAUUAAUGAUGGUGCCAAUCCAAAACUGGAGAUAAGGAAAAAUUUUGACAAUCAAGAAGUUGAGUUUCCUGUUCUCGUUCAAGCGACUGAUUCUUCAAUUCAAAUGGACACCUCUUCAGGGAUUCCUCCCUUUGAAAGGGUUAUUCCUACAUCUGAGUCAAUUAUGAGUAAAGCCCAAACAGACUUGACCUCCCAGCCCCCGAUGAAAAGACGAAGAACUGAUCCAAGGGUGGGAGUUAUUUUUCCUGACCUAAUUCAAACCAUAGAGACUCCUCCACUCACAACUGCUGCCCCUUCUUCAUCCGUGCCUAUUCAGGAAGGCCCCAGCUCGAUUCAUGAAAUUGGUGGCUCAUCUGCUGGCUUGAGUUCGUCUCCUCCAAGGCCUUAUCAUGACGUUGCCUCUGAAAGGCUUACCAUGCAUUUAGCUCAUAAUUUAAGUCCAACACACUCCUCACGGGAAAAGGUAUAUCCUUUGAGGAGAAUAUAUCUGGAGAUGAUGACGUCUCAGUGCCUGAUUUGAGAAAGGAGUGAUUUGAGAAAGGAGACUGGUGUACUGAGCCAGAAGAAUAUCGAGCUUGAUAUCAAAGUUGUAGAUCUUCAAACUGAGAACGUCAAGCUCAAUACUCAUAUUGCUAAUCUUAUUAAAGAAAAUGCUCAGAAAACAAAGCACAUCACCGAUCUUCAGACACAUUUUGGUUUGUUGACCGCCAGUUAUUAUGAGUUGAAAAAGAAGCUGGAAGAAGAAUUUGGUGACAAAUUCAAAUCAUCUGUCAUUGAGGCUAGAAUUUAUCUUCUCAAUCAAGACGCUCCCAUUAUUCCAACUCCUACAAGAACAAACAGAAUUGUCGAUCGUUUUGACAAAGAACCAGCAUAGGCCCCAAAUGUCGUGGCGGCAAAACGUGCUAAACUAGACAAGUCUGCUGAGAAGGGUCAACAUUUGUUCAAGAAGAACUCGAAUCAGAAUGUUCCCGUGAAUCAACCAAAGAUCACCCUUAUGGACCUUGGAGAAAAUCGCUUCAGAAACACUACACUUAUGGUGAUAGGUCUGGGAUCAUCUCAUGGGGUUUCCAUGAUCCUCUGAAAAUGUGGAUCGUAAGAAGGAAGAGUGGAAAUACUGAAUUGUAUAAAUAUGCUCACGAUUUCAAUUCUUGGACCAAGGUUGAUCUUACGGAAUUGUCUAAAGCCCCGUUUUCAAAUCCAACAAAUGAACCCAAGGAAACACAAUUCAGGUUGUUUUUAGAAGGUCAAGUGGCAAAUGGCUUUCCAUCUAUGAAGACAACAUCGUCUAUCAUCAAGAUUUACCCUAAUGUCAUAGAUCCCAAAACCAAUCAGCCUUUUCGAUCUGUGAAGUGGCCCACAACCAAUCAAGUAAAGCAGAUUCCUAUCCUUUAGAACCAUCCAGAUGGAUCUCUACAAUUUAUGGAAUACUGGGUGUUUGAUGAAACCACAGCUGCUACUGUCAUCAAACUCAAGCAUGGGUAUAUUCGUCUUUAUGACAAGAGGGAUCUGCUACAGUUUGGAAGGAGGGAUAUCCAUGAGCUUUCUGUUCAUCAGAUCAAGGUGGCUGAAGAUACUUUUACGCCUGCUGCUAAGGAUUACACUUUAAUGGUGGCAUUCAUUAUUGAGAAGGAAAUAUGGAAUGCAGCUAUGGGAUAGUCAGAUGUGUUGGUGGUCGAUAAAGACUAAUUCAUGCUAGCCCCAAACCAAAGGGGAGAUUGAAGGGCCAAUAUAUUUGGUUUGGGCUAGGCAUUAAUGCAUGGAUGGUUUAGGAUUGUUAUUAAUGUGUUUUUUACAUCUUUUGUGUUUGUUUGAGUUCUCGGUCUAGGUAGGUUUUCGGUCAGGCUUUGACCGAAAACCUGUUUUCGGUCUGAUGUGUGUUACUAUAUAUUGUUGUCAGGUUGUCAGAGGCAAGUUUAGUUUUUCCAGCAAGUUUUCGGUCAAUCCAAGUUGUAUCCGACAUUUCAUAGUUGAAUUGUAUGCAAGCUUGGUUGUUUAAUCUUCUUCUUCUUCUUCUUCAUUUCUAUUGCAAUUGAUUGAUCAUUAGAUAGAUUUUACAGAUUUGGGACCUAACAUUACCUAUUGGCUGCCAAAUUAUCUCUUUAUCUCUCUCCUCUUAACAUGAUGUUAUAACAUUAUAAACACCACCCUCUCAUCUUGUUGCUUCUUGUUAUAACACCACUUUAGUUGCCCAUACCAUAUGCAUAUGCUCUUAUAGAAAGUAACUCAUUCCAUUCAAAGUUGGGGAAACUGAGAUCCAAGAGGAGAAACUAUGGAUGAACAUAUGGGAUUCCAGAUAUUGGGAUUUCUCAAACCUUUUCAUUCAAAGUUUUAAUUUAUUUUAGGGCUUUUACUCUUUUCCCCCUCUUUAACAACAUUUAUUUUUUUUUUCUUUUCUUGAUUUCAUUAUGUUUGUUUUUUUUAUUAGGUCAAGAGAAACUACUGAGGAAGAAUAUCAAGCCUUCAUGCUUAUCUAUCCCAACACUGGAAUCCUCUUUGCAUCGUGCCUAACAUUUUCAUGAAAAUCUCUUACGGCUUUAGGGAAUUUAAUUUCCAUGUAGUUUGGAUUAUUAUUAAAUCGAUGGUAAAUCGGAGGGUUAAAGGGCAUGUCAAGAAACGAGUACCAUUAGCAAUGAGUUUGAUUCUAAUCUCUUUUCAUAUUUUUUUACCUGAUUUAUUCAGUGUCACAUACACCGUUAUAAUCACCUGCAAUCAUCCAUUAACACCACUUCCGAUCAGUCAUCGUCAUUUAAACUAUUUUAGGGCUUCUUUCUUUUGUUCCUCUUUUAACUGCUUCAUUUAAGUUUUGUCAUUUGCUGAAUUUGUUUGUUGCUUUUUUUUUGUAAUUAGGUCAACAGAAACUGUGGGGGUCGAAGAUGAAGGUCUUCUCCAUCUAAUUAAUCAAUUCUCCAUUAUCUCUCUUUCUAUCUUCCCAAAGAACUACAACCAGACUCUUCGCAAAGUAAAUGAUUUGAGAAAUCGAUUGAAUUAAACUGGAGUGUAAUUGUUUUCAAUGUGAGAUUGUUUCGAGUUCUUGAUUAUAUAUGUUUAUGGGUAUGUUGUCUUUUUCUAGACCUUCUUUUCCCUUUUGAGGUCCUAUUGCUUUGGAACAUUGAGUUUACAUCAACGCCUCCUCUGUUUGCCGCCAUUCCUGGAUAGGUGUUUUUCAUGUUUAGUUCUAUUUUUGUAUUGUGGUUGAUGAAUCAUAUAGAAAUAUUCUAAUGAAAAAGACUUUGAUGAUGUUCCUUACGUGUUUCACAAAAUUCCUAUAGAGAUUUCUUUUCCCUAGAAAAUACAUCUGUGUGUCUCUUGGGAUUUAAAGACAAAAAUCAAUCAGCACUAUGUUAGUUUUGUUGGUUCUACAAGUGCCCUAAGUAGCAUGUAUAUUUUACAAAUUAAUUGCAUGAGUUUGUUUUCAUCUCUGUAUUUUUCUGUAGAUAUUUUCUUCUUUUAGAGAGAAUCACUGCCCUCUCAAGACAUGUUUCAAUGCCAAUGGAUGGAUUCUCUUCAUUUACUCGAUUAAAUUAAACAUGUAUGUCUUCUAUUUCUCAUGAUUAUUUCCAAGAAAACACACAUUCUGGUGGUUAUUACUUUGUGAAUUUACCGGACAAAUGAAUUUGCUGAUGAGUGAUUAGGAAAAUAAGAACCAAUUUGGUUGUUUGUUUGGUAAUAAAAAAUGAGUAAUUAGCAUUUUUGUCUUGAGAAUUCUACAAGACAGAUGAAUGCUUAGGAAGUAGAGAUUAAUGGAACAAAUUUCAAUCAAGUACAAUGUUGAUGAAGUUGUUGAUUGAGAUCACUAUCAAUAAAUCAGUAUUAUCGUUUUUAGUUUAGAGAAUUUACAAGAGAUGAAUUUGUAGAGUGGUUAGGACAAUAAAUCACAAUCGAAAUAUAAUGCUUAUGCGUCUGAUGUUUUUAACUUCAACAAAUGAGUAAUUAGCAUUUUUUAUUUUUGAAUUUUACAUGAAAGAUCAAUUUUUUAUUGAUGUGCGAUUUUGUAAAAUAGAGAUUGAUUUGAAAAGCAGCAACUGAAAUGCAAUGCCGAUGAAGUUAAUGCGUUCAACAAUUAAACGUGGGAUUUAUUUUGUUGAAGUUAUUUUUGCUAUUAUUGGUGUUGUCCAUAUCUCCGAGAGCAAGCAAGUCUCAAACAAUGUCGCACCAGUUAUAGAUGUUUUAUCUUCAAGUUUUUAUUAGCUCCAUUUUAUAGAUACGACUAGAUGCAAGGCAUAGCAAUGUACUUUCAUGUAUUUUUUUAUAUAACAUCCAACUAUUAUUUCUUAUUUUUACAACAUUGUACUUUAAAAAAUUUCUUAUUAGUAUACAUUAUGGUAAUCUAUGUGUGAUGCAUAGCACGGACCACGGAGCUUAGACUUCCCUGGUAUAUAGUAUAAAUUGUAAGACAGCUGUGUAAGUGUGCUCACUAGAUUUUGGACUGAACAACUUAAAUACACGGAUAGUUGUCUUCAAGUUUGCUUUCAGCCUCAAGGAAUCACAGUUGUUACUUUUGGAGACUGUAAUUCUUAUUUGUAUCAUUUUCUUCGAAUAGUGGACAGCAAAAAAUCCUUGGCCUGGAAAUUCAACAGAUGGUAUGUAAGCUGAUGAGGAAUAAACAUUUUUGCAACAAGAAUUUUUACAUGAAACACAUUAAAUAUUUGAUCAAGAAAAAUCAAUACAAUCAUCGGAGGGUGGCCUCGUAAAAGAAGACCCGUGUGACUUGUGGUUUUCUCUAAGGUUGUGUUUCCUAACGCUUAAAGAGUUGUUCUAGAUGCUGUAAGUUUAAUUUCUUCAUUUCAUUGUUUAACUUGUAUUCACAAGGUUUAUCAGCUUUUAAUCUUCACCAUUCAAAUUUAAUCCAAUAACCCAAAUUUCAUCUUAAAAUCUUUGGGACCCACUAUUAUAUAUGUAAUGUAUAAUAGUAGAGAUAUUGUAAAUUUAAAACCACUAAUCAACCCUCGUUUUCCCUUUUUUUUCUCUCACAUUAGCAUUCCUAACUCCAAGAUCAGUAAUAGGAUUCUCACGAUUCAGAAUAUAUCAUUUAAAACAGCUAGGAAGUUACCAUUUCCAAUCCAACGAGUAAAAAAAAGAGUAUAGUGAAAGACGGCAAAACAUUGGAUAGUGAAAAAAAGAGGUAACCUUGGAAUAAAAGGACCAGAUACCACCAUCUAAGAAAGACGGUGAGAAAGAAAAUAUGUGCUCUGUGUUGCGCCUUGCUGAGGUUCUACUUCUUAAAGGCAUCAAGCUCUUCGUAUCAAACUUUUCAUCAUAAAUGCGAAAGUUGCCAGAAAUAAUUUCAUCAUAUCCAAGAUCCUUAUCAUCAACAUGCACUACGUCCACGUAAUCAGAGAUUAAAGUUGUAAUCUGUUGAACGUCUUUUUUGUAGAUAACAUGUGCCCCACAUCUCACUGAUUCCACAUCAUAUCCUAAUGUUACAGUCAUGUCAAGAUUACCUUGAAUAUGAGACCAGUCUUCAGGUUGAAUAUCAUGAUAUAUCUGCUGAAAGACACCCAACGGGAUAUAGCUAAUCCACAGAUUUGUAUUCUCGGCUGUUUCAGUUGCAUUAACCUCCGGCUUAGGAAUGGCAGCUCCAUGCUUUGUAAUUCUGAAGAUGAUGCGCGGAUGCCUAAAUCUCCACCACUGGUAAGUAAACACGCCACAUACCACGAAACCCAGGAUCUCAGUAUGCCAUUUCUGAGGUAACUUGAGUACUAUUCUGCACCCAUCUAUUUGUUUUUCGAACCAGCUUGGAAUCAUACUUCCAGGGAUAGUAAUACUUAAUCGAUGAUUUACAGCAGCACAUUUCUGUAAUUAACAAAAACAAUCAUGCUUUCUUAAACAAUAUAAAAGUUGCUUCCAAGAUAUGGGGAGCAGGAAGCCUACGUUUGCUAGGACAUAACAAAACAUGAAUUGACUGAUAUUGCGUGAAAAAAGACCUGCGAGCAGCCUAAAUAAAUUAAAUGAUAUUAGAAAGAUAGAGAUGAACCACCUUAAUGAAAGAUAGUUGCAGCAUGUUAUCAAGGUAUCUUUGAUUCUCUUCAUCCUCUAAGAGUUUCUUGUUAUGACUCAGCCAUAUCUUAUACAACCAGUCACCCUCUUUUGAUAGAUCUCCGAUCUUUUCCAGUGAGAUACAAUCAUUUGCCUUCAAUACUUGUAUGCUUGAUGGGAGCCCACACAGUCUUUUAAGUCCGGGGCACUCAUUCAGCUCUAGCCGUUUAAGACGAGAAAGAUGGCAGAUGCUUGAAGGUAACUUCACUAAUUUAUGGUUGCCACUUAAAUAUAAUUCUUCCAAGGAGGACAGUUCAUCAAGAUUUUGGGGGAAUCUUUCCUCUUCAAUUUCUCUCCAACUGAGAUUUAGGUUUUUCAAGGAAGACAAACUUGUCAAACUAUGAAAGCCAACAGACUUAUGUGGUACUAAAAUGUUACACAUAAAUCCUAGCCACAGCUCUUCUAACAUUUUCAUGCUUCCAAGCUCCUUUGGAAAACUUUUCAGGUUCAUGCAGUUGUGAAGAGAAAUGAACUUAAGACACCUUAACUCACAAAUGGAGUUUGGUAUGUUAUCAAGAUUCCAACAGUCUGUGAGAUUCAAGAGGCUUAGGCUAGACAAAUAUCUGAUUGAUGAUGGCAGUUCCUUUAUAGUAUAACAAGAAGAAAGAUCUAAUUGUGAUAGUUUAACCAUACAUGGGGAGACUUCUGGGAAUCUUUCAAUGCUCUUGCAUCCAGAGAGAAUUAGAGUCUCCAAUGAUUCCAU